This 112-nucleotide ribosomal RNA is filed under the name Pteropus alecto (black flying fox). Lineage: Eukaryota; Metazoa; Chordata; Mammalia; Chiroptera; Pteropodidae. The record is from RNAcentral.
GUCUAUGGCCAUGCUACCCUGAACAAGCCCAAUCCCAUCUGAUCUCAGAAGCUAAGCAGGGUCAGGCCUGGUUAGUACUUGGACCACCUAGGAAGACCAGGUGCUGUAGGCA